RNAcentral lists this ribosomal RNA (442 nucleotides) under uncultured bacterium. Its description in RNAcentral is "partial 16S ribosomal RNA". It matches the Rfam family "Bacterial small subunit ribosomal RNA", at positions 338 to 795 of the family's 1533-position model. The record is from RNAcentral.
CCUACGGGAGGCCGCAGUGGGGAAUAUUGGGCAAUGGGCGCAAGCCUGACCCAGCAACGCCGCGUGAAGGAAGAAGGCUUUCGGGUUGUAAACUUCUUUUGACAGGGAAGAGCAGAAGACGGUACCUGUCGAAUAAGCCACGGCUAACUACGUGCCAGCAGCCGCGGUAAUACGUAGGUGGCAAGCGUUGUCCGGAUUUAUUGGGGGUAAAGGGCGUGUAGCCGGGCUGACAAGUCAGAUGUGAAAUCCGGGGGCUCAACCCCCGAACUGCAUUUGAAACUGUUGGUCUUGAGUAUCGGAGAGGCAGGCGGAAUUCCUAGUGUAGCGGUGAAAUGCGUAGAUAUUAGGAGGAACACCAGUGGCGAAGGCGGCCUGCUGGACGACAACUGACGGUGAGGCGCGAAAGCGUGGGGAGCAAACAGGAUUAGAUACCCCAGUAGUC